Molecule: ribosomal RNA, 321 nt
Filed under: uncultured Pseudomonadota bacterium
Lineage: Bacteria; Pseudomonadati; Pseudomonadota
Description: bacterial SSU rRNA
Rfam family: Bacterial small subunit ribosomal RNA
Source: RNAcentral
AUUGAACGCUGGCGGCAUGCCUUACACAUGCAAGUCGAACGGCAGCACGGACUUCGGUCUGGUGGCGAGUGGCGAACGGGUGAGUAAUGCAUCGGAACGUGCCAUUGAGUGGGGGAUAACGUAGCGAAAGUUGCGCUAAUACCGCAUAUUCUGUGAGCAGGAAAGCAGGGGACCGCAAGGCCUUGCGCUCUUUGAGCGGCCGAUGUCAGAUUAGCUAGUUGGCGGGGUAAAGGCCCACCAAGGCAACGAUCCGUAGCGGGUCUGAGAGGAUGAUCCGCCACACUGGGACUGAGACACGGCCCAGACACCUACGGGAGGCAG